RNAcentral lists this long non-coding RNA (319 nucleotides) under Sus scrofa (pig). RNAcentral describes it as "lncRNA (ENSSSCG00050032344.1)". The record is from RNAcentral. Lineage: Eukaryota; Metazoa; Chordata; Mammalia; Artiodactyla; Suidae.
AGUAGCUGCUGUGGGAGCCGAGAGAGGGAAUGAAGAAGGAAACCAGGAACCUUUUAUGAAUAAGGCCCUUUGUAAAUAUUCUGCCCGGAGUUCCUCCCACUACCUCAACAUUAAAAUAGAUGAAGAAUUCGAAAACCAAGAAGUUCAGACGUUAGGAUUCAGGGUUGGAAUAUCACCAGUCUUAACUGGAAAGGGCAAGACUAGCAGUUUUUGCAAGACCAAGACCGUGUACCCUUCUACUCGGAAGUCAGAGUUGGUGCCACCUAAGUGGGUUCCUGAUGCAGGGGAUUUGAGGACAUCCUCUUCCUUCAACUUCUGA